RNAcentral lists this ribosomal RNA (497 nucleotides) under uncultured bacterium. RNAcentral describes it as "partial 16S ribosomal RNA". It matches the Rfam family "Bacterial small subunit ribosomal RNA", at positions 28 to 507 of the family's 1533-position model. The record is from RNAcentral.
GAUGAACGCUGGCGGCGUGCCUAAUACAUGCAAGUCGAGCGAACAGACGAGGAGCUUGCUCCUCUGACGUUAGCGGCGGACGGGUGAGUAACACGUGGAUAACCUACCUAUAAGACUGGGAUAACUUCGGGAAACCGGAGCUAAUACCGGAUAAUAUAUUGAACCGCAUGGUUCAAUAGUGAAAGACGGUUUUGCUGUCACUUAUAGAUGGAUCCGCGCCGCAUUAGCUAGUUGGUAAGGUAACGGCUUACCAAGGCAACGAUGCGUAGCCGACCUGAGAGGAGGAUCGGCCACACUGGAACAGAGACACGGACCAGACGAAUACGGGAGGCAGCAGUAGGGAGUCUUAAGAAAUGGGCGAAAGACUGAAGGAGCAACGAAGAGUGAGUGAUGAAGGUAUUCGGAACGUAAAAAUCUGUUAUUAGGGAAGAACAAAUGUGUAAGUAACUAUGCACGUCUAGACGGUACCUAAUCAGAAAGCCACGGCUAACUAAGUG